RNAcentral lists this small nucleolar RNA (117 nucleotides) under Meriones unguiculatus (Mongolian gerbil). RNAcentral describes it as "Small nucleolar RNA SNORA63 (ENSMUGG00000026131.1)". Lineage: Eukaryota; Metazoa; Chordata; Mammalia; Rodentia; Muridae. The record is from RNAcentral.
AAGAAGCUAAACUACUGUUCAGUGCUGUGUUGUCGUUCCAUCUGCUCAAAGCAAUUGUUACUUAACUAUACCUGUCUGCUAGACAUGUAGCAGCCAGGGAUGCUUGGUCUCAUACAU